RNAcentral lists this ribosomal RNA (546 nucleotides) under uncultured Glomus. RNAcentral describes it as "SSU rRNA". It matches the Rfam family "Eukaryotic small subunit ribosomal RNA", at positions 548 to 1098 of the family's 1831-position model. Lineage: Eukaryota; Fungi; Glomeromycota; Glomeromycetes; Glomerales; Glomeraceae. The record is from RNAcentral.
UUGGAGGGCAAGUCUGGUGCCAGCAGCCGCGGUAAUUCCAGCUCCAAUAGCGUAUAUUAAAGUUGUUGCAGUUAAAAAGCUCGUAGUUGAAUUUCGGGAUUAGUACGUCGGUCGUGCCUUAGGUACGUACUGGUGUUACUGGUUCCUACCUUCUGACGAACCAUCAUGUCAUUAAUUUGGUGUGGUGGGGAAUCAGGACUGUUACUUUGAAAAAAUUAGAGUGUUUAAAGCAGGCUCGCGCUUGAAUACAUUAGCAUGGAAUAAUGAAAUAGGACGUUGAUCCUAUUUUGUUGGUUUCUAGGAUUGACGUAAUGAUUAAUAGGGAUAGUUGGGGGCAUUAGUAUUCAAUUGUCAGAGGUGAAAUUCUUGGAUUUAUUGAAGACUAGCUACUGCGAAAGCAUUUGCCAAGGAUGUUUUCAUUAAUCAAGAACGAAAGUUAGGGGAUCGAAGACGAUCAGAUACCGUCGUAGUCUUAACCAUAAACUAUGCCGACUAAGGAUCGGAUGAUGUUAUUUUUAAUGACUCAUUCGGCACCUUACGGGAAAC